CAGUCGCCGCGGUAAUACGAAGGGGGCUAGCGUUGUUCGGAAUUACUGGGCGUAAAGGGCGCGUAGGCGGCCAUUCAAGUUAGAUGUGAAAGCCCUGGGCUCAACCUAGGAAUUGCAUUUGAUACUGUUUGGCUUGAGUUCGGGAGAGGUGAGUGGAAUUCCCAGUGUAGAGGUGAAAUUCGUAGAUAUUGGGAAGAACACCAGUGGCGAAGGCGGCUCACUGGACCGACACUGACGCUGAGGCGCGAAAGCGUGGGGAGCAAACAGGAUUAGAUACCCGGGUAGUCCCUGUCUCUUAUAA
This 301-nucleotide ribosomal RNA is filed under the name uncultured bacterium. RNAcentral describes it as "partial 16S ribosomal RNA". It matches the Rfam family "Bacterial small subunit ribosomal RNA", at positions 509 to 809 of the family's 1533-position model. The record is from RNAcentral.